CCUACGGUCGGCAGCAGUGGGGAAUAUUGGUCACUGGGCGCAAGCCUGACCCAGCAACGCCGCGUGAAGGACGAAGGCCCUCGGGUUGUAAACUUCUUUUAUUCGGGACGAAACAAAUGACGGUACCGAAUGAAUAAGCCACGGCUAACUACGUGCCAGCAGCCGCGGUAAUGCGUAGGGGGCCAGCGUUAUCCGGAUUUACUGGGUGUAACGGGCGUGUAGGCGGGAGAGCAAAUCAGACGGGAAAUUCCAGGGCGGAACCCUAGAAGUGCGGUUGAAACUGUUCUUCUUGAGGGAGGGAGAGGCAGGCGGAAUGCAGUGUGUAGCGGUGAAAGGCGUAGAUAUACGGAGGAACACCAGUGGCGAAGGCGGCCUGCUGGAAAUUAACUGACGCUGAGGCGCGAAAGCGUGGGGAGCAAACAGGAUUAGAUACCCGAGUAGUC
Molecule: ribosomal RNA, 443 nt
Filed under: uncultured bacterium
Lineage: Bacteria
Description: partial 16S ribosomal RNA
Rfam family: Bacterial small subunit ribosomal RNA
Source: RNAcentral